UUUGAAAGCUGGCGUCUUCGGCGUCCGCGUUGUAAUCUCGAGACGUGUUUUCCGUGCGGCUCUAUGGACAAGUCCCUUGGAACAGGGCAUCGUAGAGGGUGAAAAUCCCGUACUUGCCAUGGAAGUACCGUGCUUUGUGAUACACGCUCCAAGAGUCGAGUAGUUUGGGAUUGCUGCUCAAAGUGGGUGGUAGACUCCAUCUAAAGCUAAAUAUCGGGGAGAGACCGAUAGCGAACAAGUACCGUGAGGGAAAGAUGAAAAGCACUUUGGAAAGAGAGUUAAAAGUACGUGAAAUUGUCGAAAGGGAAGCACUUGAAGUCAGCCAUGCUGCUUGAGACUCAGCCUGGCUUUUGCUUGGUGUAUUUCUCGGUAGCAAGCCAGCAUUGGUUUGUGUCGUCGGAGAAGCGUAUGGGGAAUGUGGCAUCCUCGGAUGUGUUAUAGCCCUGUGCAGGAUACGA
This 458-nucleotide ribosomal RNA is filed under the name Malassezia restricta. RNAcentral describes it as "eukaryotic LSU rRNA". It matches the Rfam family "Eukaryotic large subunit ribosomal RNA", at positions 114 to 576 of the family's 3401-position model. The record is from RNAcentral. Lineage: Eukaryota; Fungi; Basidiomycota; Malasseziomycetes; Malasseziales; Malasseziaceae.